RNAcentral lists this unclassified non-coding RNA (228 nucleotides) under Hevea brasiliensis (rubber tree). Lineage: Eukaryota; Viridiplantae; Streptophyta; Magnoliopsida; Malpighiales; Euphorbiaceae. The record is from RNAcentral.
GGCAAAGCAAUCUUUUGUUUUAUAGCAACAUAAAAAACAACAAUUUAACUUAUACGAAGUACAGAGCCAACUGAGGUUGGCUCAUUUAUUCCAACCAUACGUAAUUCUAAAUGGGGAUUAUGAACGUAAUUUCUUUUUGGAUUAUUAAAAUCCAAAGAGAAAAAUAUUAUUCCACUUAAUAGCAAUCUUAAUUAGGGUUAAAAAACAUAUUUUACCAUGCCAGGAAUA